This 20-nucleotide microRNA is filed under the name Ciona intestinalis (vase tunicate). Its description in RNAcentral is "cin-miR-4177-3p". Lineage: Eukaryota; Metazoa; Chordata; Ascidiacea; Phlebobranchia; Cionidae. The record is from miRBase by way of RNAcentral.
UAAUUGCUGUUUUAAAAAUA